CAAGGUGCAUAGCAACCAGCAUUAUUAUAGUCUACUUAAUAGUGUGUGCUACCUGCCAGGAUUGUACAUUAAGAAAAGGAAAGACUAGUGGGACCUGUUUGUCAGGCCCUAAAACUAGAAUUUUCCUGGUUAUACACACCACAAAAUGAGUGUCAGCAACAUUAAAUAGUGGCAAGAGUGAUGGGAUCAAAAAGUUUGACUCGUGGUCUGCUGUCAUUAUUAGAUGAUGUAAAGAGUGUUUAAACCUUGAGAUGGUGAUGGGUGACUUCAUAGAAAAUGUGGACUCCAGAGCUAAAAUGUUCCAAGCAGCUGAUUGGAGGCGAUGAUUGAAAACUUUCAUCUCCUCCAAU
Molecule: long non-coding RNA, 350 nt
Filed under: Homo sapiens (human)
Lineage: Eukaryota; Metazoa; Chordata; Mammalia; Primates; Hominidae
Description: HSALNT0008451
Source: RNAcentral